Molecule: non-coding RNA, 86 nt
Filed under: Leclercia adecarboxylata
Lineage: Bacteria; Pseudomonadati; Pseudomonadota; Gammaproteobacteria; Enterobacterales; Enterobacteriaceae
Source: RNAcentral
UCAAUGGUGGGCCGGACGGGGGCAUCGUAAGAUGCGCCGGUUUCCAGUAUGGCCGGUAAGGCUAACUCCGUUCGGCGCCACCACCC